This 274-nucleotide ribosomal RNA is filed under the name uncultured bacterium. RNAcentral's name for it is "partial 16S ribosomal RNA". It matches the Rfam family "Bacterial small subunit ribosomal RNA", at positions 523 to 796 of the family's 1533-position model. The record is from RNAcentral.
AUACGGAGGGUGCGAGCGUUGUUCGGAAUUAUUGGGCGUAAAGAGCAUGUAGGCGGUCUGUUAAGUCUGGUGUGAAAGCCCGGGGCUCAACCCCGGAAGUGCAUUGGAUACUGGCAGACUUGAGUAUGGGAGAGGAAAGCGGAAUUCCGAGUGUAGGAGUGAAAUCCGUAGAUAUUCGGAGGAACACCAGUGGCGAAGGCGGCUUUCUGGACCAAUACUGACGCUGAGAUGCGAAAGCGUGGGGAGCAAACAGGAUUAGAAACCCUGGUAGUCC